GUCUUAGCUCAGUUGGUAGAGCAGUUGCCUUGUAAGCAUCAGGUCGUAGGUUCGAGUCCUAUAGACG
RNAcentral lists this transfer RNA (67 nucleotides) under bovine gut metagenome. It matches the Rfam family "tRNA". From Rfam's summary of the family: Transfer RNA (tRNA) molecules are approximately 80 nucleotides in length. Their secondary structure includes four short double-helical elements and three loops (D, anti-codon, and T loops). The record is from RNAcentral.